This 648-nucleotide ribosomal RNA is filed under the name Triticum aestivum (bread wheat). RNAcentral's name for it is "partial small subunit ribosomal RNA". The record is from RNAcentral. Lineage: Eukaryota; Viridiplantae; Streptophyta; Magnoliopsida; Poales; Poaceae.
AUGCCAGGAAAUUCUUUCUACUGUGCACCACAUCAAGUUGAACUAGAACCAUUAGAAGACAACUCAGUACUCACUGAUUCACAUCCCUACAAACGAACACUUGUACAAAAUAAUGAAAAGAAUGAACUCCCAUCUAGUCAACUCUCUCAACCAGUAGAUGACACACCCAGUUUUAAUGCAAUAACCGAUGGACUGCAAGAUACAAUCCAACCCUGUAUGACUGCUUAUCAAACAAGCACAUAUAAUCAUCUGGGUUCUUCAUCCCAACUUGUCAAACCUGCUACUCAUUCAAACCCUAGAUUCUUCAAUCCUGGAACUUCAUUCCUGUAUAGCAAUAGUCCACUUAGACCUUUCAAGAUUAACUCUCCAAAGCCAGACAUUACUUUCGGAACUCCACUUAACAAUACAGCGUUGGUCAAAAUGAUGGAUGAAUUUGAAGCUAAAUUCAGACAGAAUGAAAUACAUGCAGGAAAGAAACAGUUUCAACAUUUCUCUUCUGCCACAAAUGUUCAGCAGCCCAACUAUUUGCAGUUUCAACAAGUUAUCUUCUCAAGUCCAGUGCAAAUUGAAUUCUACAAGGCAAUGACUGCAGCUCUUCCAACUCUGGACUCAAGGUAUUUUUUCAUAGUAUAUUUCACUAUGCUGUAA